AAGCUAUUGAGGAUGGUAGCUGACUCUAUAGCCACUCCAUUUUUUCAUCAUUUUAAGAAAAAGGUUUGUCCUCAGACCCGGAGGGAAGCCAGAGUCCUUCCACUACCCAAGAAUGGCAAUCACAUGUACCUACGGGGGAAAGAUGGCCAGCCACACAGGAGGGUGAUUUUCACUAAGGAGGAGAAGGAGGCCAUGCUGACCGAGAUGCAUGCUGGCCAUUUCGGAGCGAAGCGCAUGAUUGCCAAAAUCAACCUACGCUUCUUCUGACAGGGAAUUGUCAAGGAGGUCAGUACCCUGUCUAGCCUGACAGAAGUUUGAGUGGGUGAAAACUGUGGCGCAGGAGUUGAAGCCCAUCAAAGUUUUCACCAUGGAAACUGAUCAGUAAGUUUCCCAAUUAAAAUGUUGCCUUGAUA
Molecule: long non-coding RNA, 413 nt
Organism: Oncorhynchus keta (chum salmon)
Lineage: Eukaryota; Metazoa; Chordata; Actinopteri; Salmoniformes; Salmonidae
Exons: 3
Source: RefSeq, a predicted model, not a curated record